UGGACUGUUCUUUCUUGGUCUCCUCUGCCUU
This 31-nucleotide non-coding RNA is filed under the name Mus musculus (house mouse). The record is from RNAcentral. Lineage: Eukaryota; Metazoa; Chordata; Mammalia; Rodentia; Muridae.